AGAAUCAACGCUGGCGGCGUGCCUAACACAUGCAAGUCGCACGAGAAAGGGUAGCAAUACCUGAGUAAAGUGGCGCACGGGUGAGUAACACGUGAAUUAUCUACCUCCGAGUGGGGAAUAACUGAGAGAAAUCUUAGCUAAUACCGCAUAACACUUACGAGUCAAAGGAGCAAUUCGCUUAAGGAGGGGGUCGCGGCAGAUUAGUUAGUUGGCGGGGUAAUGGCCCACCAAGACAGUGAUCUGUA
This 245-nucleotide ribosomal RNA is filed under the name uncultured bacterium. RNAcentral describes it as "partial small subunit ribosomal RNA". It matches the Rfam family "Bacterial small subunit ribosomal RNA", at positions 26 to 285 of the family's 1533-position model. The record is from RNAcentral.